This 1313-nucleotide ribosomal RNA is filed under the name uncultured Ralstonia sp. RNAcentral's name for it is "bacterial SSU rRNA". It matches the Rfam family "Bacterial small subunit ribosomal RNA", at positions 49 to 1355 of the family's 1533-position model. The record is from RNAcentral. Lineage: Bacteria; Pseudomonadati; Pseudomonadota; Betaproteobacteria; Burkholderiales; Burkholderiaceae.
UUACACAUGCAAGUCGAACGGCAGCAUGAUCUAGCUUGCUAGAUUGAUGGCGAGUGGCGAACGGGUGAGUAAUACAUCGGAACGUGCCCUGUAGUGGGGGAUAUACAAGUCGAAAGAUUAGCUAAUACCGCAUACGACCUGAGGGUGAAAGUGGGGGACCGCAAGGCCUCAUGCUAUAGGAGCGGCCGAUGUCUGAUUAGCUAGUUGGUGGGGUAAAGGCCCACCAAGGCGACGAUCAGUAGCUGGUCUGAGAGGACGAUCAGCCACACUGGGACUGAGACACGGCCCAGACUCCUACGGGAGGCAGCAGUGGGGAAUUUUGGACAAUGGGCGAAAGCCUGAUCCAGCAAUGCCGCGUGUGUGAAGAAGGCCUUCGGGUUGUAAAGCACUUUUGUCCGGAAAGAAAUGGCUCUGGUUAAUACCUGGGGUCGAUGACGGUACCGGAAGAAUAAGGACCGGCUAACUACGUGCCAGCAGCCGCGGUAAUACGUAGGGUCCAAGCGUUAAUCGGAAUUACUGGGCGUAAAGCGUGCGCAGGCGGUUGUGCAAGACCGAUGUGAAAUCCCCGAGCUUAACUUGGGAAUUGCAUUGGUGACUGCACGGCUAGAGUGUGUCAGAGGGGGGUAGAAUUCCACGUGUAGCAGUGAAAUGCGUAGAGAUGUGGAGGAAUACCGAUGGCGAAGGCAGCCCCCUGGGAUAACACUGACGCUCAUGCACGAAAGCGUGGGGAGCAAACAGGAUUAGAUACCCUGGUAGUCCACGCCCUAAACGAUGUCAACUAGUUGUUGGGGAUUCAUUUCCUUAGUAACGUAGCUAACGCGUGAAGUUGACCGCCUGGGGAGUACGGUCGCAAGAUUAAAACUCAAAGGAAUUGACGGGGACCCGCACAAGCGGUGGAUGAUGUGGAUUAAUUCGAUGCAACGCGAAAAACCUUACCUACCCUUGACAUGCCACUAACGAAGCAGAGAUGCAUUAGGUGCUCGAAAGAGAAAGUGGACACAGGUGCUGCAUGGCUGUCGUCAGCUCGUGUCGUGAGAUGUUGGGUUAAGUCCCGCAACGAGCGCAACCCUUGUCUCUAGUUGCUACGAAAGGGCACUCUAGAGAGACUGCCGGUGACAAACCGGAGGAAGGUGGGGAUGACGUCAAGUCCUCAUGGCCCUUAUGGGUAGGGCUUCACACGUCAUACAAUGGUGCAUACAGAGGGUUGCCAAGCCGCGAGGUGGAGCUAAUCCCAGAAAAUGCAUCGUAGUCCGGAUCGUAGUCUGCAACUCGACUACGUGAAGCUGGAAUCGCUAGUAAUCGCGGAUCAGCAU